GGUAACAUUUAGCCCGUGAAUUCCCCAGAACGUGGACUUCACCGGGUGGGAGCAUUGCCUAUGCUCAGUGACACUAUGUUGCUCGUGGCGUGUAAGAGUUUUGAGCUCUUGAUGCUUCCGGGAUUUAGUUGUUCGUUUGCUGAUGUUUCCCUUGCCCAGAGAGAACAAUAGCACUUAAAAGUUACAUACCGCUUUCCAGCCCUCUCUAAGCGGUUUUACAGAGUCGGCAUAUUGUCCCCAACAAUUUGGGUCCUCAUUUUAGCCACCUCGGAAGGAUGGAAGGCUGAGUCAAAUUGAAGCCAGCAGAAGUAGCCUGCAGUAGUACUGCACUAACCACUGCGCCACCGUGGCUCAUAAGGAUUCUACAAGACCAUAUAAGAAGGAUUUCAAAUUCAAAAUGUCAUGAGAGCCACAUGAAGACCACCCUGGGGGCCAAAAUACCAACCUCCUCACUGAUAAAAAAACAUCUCUAAUGAGUCAGAUAUGAAAGGCAUCACAGCAUAUCACCAAAUGUAACUUUAUAAAUAAAAAAAUCCACUGCAAAGUAGAACCACGGUCCCAUCCUUCACCCAUCAUUUCUAGUCUCUAACCUCCAAAAAUUUGUAGUCGUGAAACGAUAUUCAAUUUUCCAAGUGCAUAACCAGUCACGCUCUGUCACAGGGGUCUCCAACCUUGGCAACUUUAAGCCUGAUGGACUUCAACUCCCAAAAUUCCACAGCCAGCUUUGCUGGCUAUGGAAUUCUGGGAGUUGAAGUCCGCCAGGCUUAAAGUUGCCAAGGUUGGAGACCUCUGCUCUAUAAUGCCAUAUGCCAUUGGCAGUCAGCUCAUAUUUGAUUGAUUGCAGUGUCCUGCAGUCACAUGAUCAGGUUUUGACUUUUUUGCCUUUUCCUGCAAAAAGGCCCAAUUGGAUUCAGAUUUACAACCAUAUUUGAUUCACUUAACGGUGAUACAGAUAAUGACCAUUGCAAAAAAAGUCAUAAAAUCAAGUGCAACCACAUAUUUACUCAAUUUAUGACUGAUAUAAUUUAUAACCAAAAUUCCAGGCUCAUUGUGGUCAUAAGGUAAGGACUACCUGUAGUAAAAUGAUCUGAAGAAUUCUUUGACGCAACUGAGACCAACAUUUGAGCUGCUACUAUAAAUAUCUAUUGAUAUUUAAACAGCAAUCCUUUGCACAUUCCUUUAUUCCCCGUAUUCAUUGCAUUUCUAAUUCUUGGUAAAAAGAUCUCCAGAAACAUUAUAGAAUUUAAUUCUGAGAAAAUAAACUUAGGUGAUCUUUAAUCUGGAUGUCACUGAACAUAGUAAAUACAGCAUGCUACUGAGUGUUUGAAAGUCAUUACUGUUACAUGUUACCUCUUCAUCUACAUUGUAUGUCAAAGGAUCAAAGGAAGACUCAUUCAAACUCUUUGAUCACUGGUGCUUGUCGAACGACGUAGUUUUCUGCAAGUAGACUGCUUGGCAAAGUCAAGUCCUUGAUUAUCAAACCAAUGAUGCUCUAUUAGUUGCUUGAUGCUUGCUGUUCUUUCAUGAACUGCAAUUCUUGUUUGUAAUCUUGUAAGCUCAGAUUCCUAUAGUGCAACACAAAUUUAAAACUUUGUAGAAAUUAGGUGAUCAGGGAUCAUCUUAACAAAAGCUACUUGUUUAACAAAAAUAUUGAUAGUAUUUCUGAUUAAUAAAAAUGUUAUGAACAACAUACAUGGCUUGGUUAUUGUUAUUAAACAAAGCAUCUCCAAUACUGUUUCUAUAGAUUAUUAAGUAAUUAUCUGAAAUAAUAUUUGAAUAACAGGAGAUAGUGAUGACAGAGUGAAGGAAAAAAAUUUGCUAGAGACCAAGUGAGAUUAAAAGGCAACAAAUAAAUUGGGAACUUCUAUCAGGCAGCUUUACUAUAGAAGAAGCAGUUUUUCUCAAUCUUUUUACCCUGUAAUAGCAGUUGAUAUAAUCUUCAGGUCUCAUAAAACCCUUGUAUAAAAUGCAAAAAAAUAUAAAAGCUACCUAAUAUAAUUCAGGCCAGAAUGUUAAGUUGUGACAAAUAAAAAUUCCCAUCACUAGCAUACAAUAUGCAAAGUUCAAAAAAUGGUUUUUUUCAAUCACAAUAUCUUGAAAGUACCCUUAACAACCUCUUGCAGAACUCUCAGAUUCAAUGGAAUUCCAGUUGAAAAAGGCUUCUUUACAGAAUACUCUCAGCAAAAGAUCUUAAAGGCUUCAUUUGGAUUGGCAUUCAUAAGUUUUUUGAAUAAUAGUUAAUUCCAAACUAAACUUGAAGCAGACUGCAUCAACAAAAUUAUAGUUUUCAAAUCACAGUUUCACUUUAUUCUGCUUUACUCCAAGUGCUGGGGACAAUUCUCAGCAUCAUACUUCAAAAAACAUUCUUUAAACAGGAAAACCAAUUUGAUAUUAGAAUCAGACUCAAUUAAGUCUUUACUAGAUGUCUUCAAGAAGAGCCUAAGUAGCCAUCUACUGAGGCUGCACUAAUUUGGAUUCUUGCACUGAGUAAGAGAUUGGACAUGCUGACAAACUCUCCAUAAUUGAAAGAACUGGCUUCCACUACCCAGUCUAAUUAUUUCUGACUGUUGUUUUAUAUAUGAAGUGAGAUAGGCUCUCAGAGCUCAAAAGAGAAGAGAUGGGCUCAGCAAACAUGUUAUGACAAUUCUUUCUUAAUUUUAGAGAAGACGAUUCCUUUGUGGUUCAAAAUCCAUGUAUGUAUGUAAAAAUAGCAACCUGAAAGAAGCAAGCCACGUGUUGUCUUUUUGCCAUUAAAUUCCCUAACAUCAUAAAUGCAGAUUUCAUUUUUCUGCUAAGUUUGGCCUCCCAAGAUCCAAAACACAGUUCAUAAAGAUUAACACUAUCAACCAUCCCCUUCAACAAUACCUUAUAAUGUUUUUUUUUGUCCACCUCUCUCUUCAGCCAAGGUUUUCAUACUAACUAUGAAUGAGUAACAUCCAGAGUACAAAUUCCAGUGUUAACAGACAUGUAUUCCAUGUACCUAUAAUAUGAACUGAGAUGACAACCUUAUAUCUAAUAU
Long non-coding RNA from Ahaetulla prasina, 3019 nucleotides. RefSeq lists it as uncharacterized. Lineage: Eukaryota; Metazoa; Chordata; Lepidosauria; Squamata; Colubridae. The transcript has 4 exons. The record is from RefSeq and is a predicted model, not a curated record.